RNAcentral lists this ribosomal RNA (1094 nucleotides) under uncultured archaeon. RNAcentral's name for it is "bacterial SSU rRNA". It matches the Rfam family "Archaeal small subunit ribosomal RNA", at positions 94 to 1189 of the family's 1478-position model. The record is from RNAcentral.
UAACACGUGGAUAACCUACCCUUGGGACCGGAAUAACCCCGGGAAACUGGGGAUAAUACCGGAUAGAUCAGGGAUGCUGGAAUGCACCUUGAUCCAAAGCUCCGGCGCCCAAGGAUGGGUCUGCGGCCUAUCAGGUAGUAGUGGGUGUAACGUACCUACUAGCCAACGACGGGUACGGGUUGUGAGAGCAAGAUCCCGGAGAUGGAUUCUGAGACACGAAUCCAGGCCCUACGGGGUGCAGCAGGCGCGAAACCUUUACAAUGUGCGAAAGCAUGAUAAGGGAACUCCGAGUGCCAGUAUCUAAUACUGGCUGUCCUUGUGCCUAAAACGCACAAGAUAGCAAGGGCCGGGUAAGACCGGUGCCAGCCGCCGCGGUAACACCGGCGGCCCGAGUGGUAGCCGCUAUUAUUGGGUCUAAAGGGUCCGUANCCGGUUCNAUAAGUCCUCUGGGAAAUCUGGUUGCUUAACAAUCAGACUGCCAAGGGAUACUGUCGAACUUCAGACCGGGAGAGGUAAGAGGUACUUCAGGGGUAGGAGUGAAAUCUUGUAAUCCCUGGGGGACCAUCUGUGGCGAAGGCGUCUUACCAAAACGGGUCUGACGGUGAGGGACGAAAGCUGGGGGCGCAAACCGGAUUAGAUACCCGGGUAGUCCCAGCCGUAAACGAUGCUCGCUAUGUGUCAGGUACGGUGUGACCGUAUCUGGUGCCGUAGGGAAGCCGUGAAGCGAGCCACCUGGGAAGUACGGCCGCAAGGCUGAAACUUAAAGGAAUUGGCGGGGGAGCACUACAACGGGUGGAGCCUGCGGUUUAAUUGGAUUCAACGCCGGAAAUCUUACCGGGGGAGACAGCAGCAUGAAGGUCAGGCUGAAGACCUUACCAGAUCCGCUGAGAGGAAGUGCAUGGCCGUCGUCAGUUCGUACUGUGAAGCAUCCUGUUAAGUCAGGCAACGAGCGAGACCCGUGCCCACAGUUGCCAGCAUACCCUUCGGGGUGAUGGGUACUUUGUGGGGACCGCCGCUGCUAAAGCGGAGGAAGGAGCGGGUUACGGUAGGUCAGUAUGCUCCGAAACUCCCGGGCUACACGCGGGCUACAAUGG